Molecule: small nucleolar RNA, 136 nt
Filed under: Castor canadensis (American beaver)
Lineage: Eukaryota; Metazoa; Chordata; Mammalia; Rodentia; Castoridae
Description: Small nucleolar RNA SNORA51 (ENSCCNG00000026669.1)
Rfam family: Small nucleolar RNA SNORA51
About the family: ACA51 is a member of the H/ACA class of snoRNA that guide the sites of modification of uridines to pseudouridines.
Source: Rfam by way of RNAcentral
UGUCUCAAAAAAACACACCACAAGCUAUGUUCUUACACUGACUACAUAUAGAAAAAGGAAGCAAAGUAAACCCACCCCUACAUAUACCUCAGCCCAGGCCCUGUGCCUAGUCUGUAUUAUGAAUUGGGAGACAUAA